This 380-nucleotide RNase P RNA is filed under the name Streptomyces sp. tea 10. Its description in RNAcentral is "RNase P RNA component class A". It matches the Rfam family "Bacterial RNase P class A". Rfam says of the family: Ribonuclease P (RNase P) is a ubiquitous endoribonuclease, found in archaea, bacteria and eukarya as well as chloroplasts and mitochondria. Its best characterised activity is the generation of mature 5'-ends of tRNAs by cleaving the 5'-leader elements of precursor-tRNAs. Cellular RNase Ps are ribonucleoproteins. Lineage: Bacteria; Bacillati; Actinomycetota; Actinomycetes; Kitasatosporales; Streptomycetaceae. The record is from RNAcentral.
CAGGUGGGCCGGGCGACCGCGCGGCGUCGUCGUGAACGACGGCGUCUCGAGGAAAGUCCGGGCUCCGCAGAGCAGGACGGUGGGUAACACCCACUCGGGGUAACCCGCAGGACAGUGCCACAGAAAACAGACCGCCCGCCGCGAGCGGGUCAGGGUGAAAAGGUGGUGUAAGAGACCACCAGCGCGCCGGGUGACCGGCGCGGCUCGGUAAACCCCGUCCGGAGCAAGGCCAUGCAGGGCGCGUUCGAGGGCUGCUCGCCCGAGCGUCCGGGUAGGCUGCUCGAGCCGUGCGGCAACGCACGGUCUAGAUGGAUGGUCGUCACCGCGGUGCGGGUAACCCGCCCGCGGCACAGAACCCGGCUCACAGGCCCACCUGUCCC